RNAcentral lists this ribosomal RNA (253 nucleotides) under uncultured bacterium. RNAcentral describes it as "partial 16S ribosomal RNA". It matches the Rfam family "Bacterial small subunit ribosomal RNA", at positions 524 to 776 of the family's 1533-position model. The record is from RNAcentral.
UACGAAGGGAGCUAGCGUUGUUCGGAAUUACUGGGCGUAAAGGGCGCGUAGGCGGUUUAGCAAGUUGGAUGUGAAAGCCCAGGGCUCAACCCUGGAACUGCAUUCAAGACUGCUUUACUUGAAUUCGGUAGAGGUUGGUGGAAUUCCCAGUGUAGAGGUGAAAUUCGUAGAGAUUGGGAAGAACACCCGUGGCGAAGGCGGCCAACUGGACCGACAUUGACGCUGAGGCGCGAAAGCGUGGGGAUCAAACAGG